Molecule: ribosomal RNA, 465 nt
Filed under: uncultured bacterium
Lineage: Bacteria
Description: partial 16S ribosomal RNA
Rfam family: Bacterial small subunit ribosomal RNA
Source: RNAcentral
GACGAACGCUGGCGGCGUGCUUAACACAUGCAAGUCGAACGGAAAGGCCCUGCUUGCAGGGUACUCGAGUGGCGAACGGGUGAGUAACACGUGGGUGAUCUGCCCUGCACUUCGGGAUAAGCUUGGGAAACUGGGUCUAAUACCGGAUAGGAGCCAUCUUUAGUGUGGUGGUUGGAAAGUUUUUUCGGUGUAGGAUGAGCUCGCGGCCUAUCAGCUUGUUGGUGGGGUAAUGGCCUACCAAGGCGGCGACGGGUAGCCGGCCUGAGAGGGUGUACGGCCACAUUGGGACUGAGAUACGGCCCAGACUCCUACGGGAGGCAGCAGUGGGGAAUAUUGCACAAUGGGCGCAAGCCUGAUGCAGCGACGCCGCGUGGGGGAUGAAGGCCUUCGGGUUGUAAACUCCUUUCGCUAGGGACGAAGCUUUUUUGUGACGGUACCUAGAUAAGAAGCACCGGCUAACUACGU